GACGAACGCUGGCGGCGUGCCUAAUACAUGCAAGUCGAACGAACUCUGGUAUUGAUUGGUGCUUGCAUCAUGAUUUACAUUUGAGUGAGUGGCGAACUGGUGAGUAACACGUGGGAAACCUGCCCAGAAGCGGGGGAUAACACCUGGAAACAGAUGCUAAUACCGCAUAACAACUUGGACCGCGCGGUCCGAGUUUGAAAGAUGGCUUCGGCUAUCACUUUUGGAUGGUCCCGCGGCGUAUUAGCUAGAUGGUGGGGUAACGGCUCACCAUGGCAAUGAUACGUAGCCGACCUGAGAGGGUAAUCGGCCACAUUGGGACUGAGACACGGCCCAAACUCCUACGGGAGGCAGCAGUAGGGAAUCUUCCACAAUGGACGAAAGUCUGAUGGAGCAACGCCGCGUGAGUGAAGAAGGGUUUCGGCUCGUAAAACUCUGUUGUUAAAGAAGAACAUAUCUGAGAGUAACUGUUCAGGUAUUGACGGUAUUUAACCAGAAAGCCACGGCCAACUACGUGCCAGCAGCCGCGGUAAUACGUAGGUGGCAAGCGUUGUCCGGAUUUAUUGGGCGUAAAGCGAGCGCAGGCGGUUUUUUAAGUCUGAUGUGAAAGCCUUCGGCUCAACCGAAGAAGUGCAUCGGAAACUGGGAAACUUGAGUGCAGAAGAGGACAGUGGAACUCCAUGUGUAGCGGUGAAAUGCGUAGAUAUGUGGAAGAACACCAGUGGCGAAGGCGGCUGUCUGGUCUGUAACUGACGCUGAGGCUCGAAAGUAUGGGUAGCAAACAGGAUUAGAUACCCUGGUAGUCCAUACCGUAAACGAUGAAUGCUAAGCGUUGGAGGGUUUCCGCCCUUCAGUGCUGCAGCUAACGCAUUAAGCAUUCCGCCUGGGGAGUACGGCCGCAAGGCUGAAACUCAAAGGAAUUGACGGGGGCCCGCACAAGCGGUGGAGCAUGUGGUUUAAUUCGAAGCUACGCGAAGAACCUUACCAGGUCUUGACAUACUAUGCAAAUCUAAGAGAUUAGACAUUCCCUUCGGGGACAUGGAUACAGGUGGUGCAUGGUUGUCGUCAGCUCGUGUCGUGAGAUGUUGGGUUAAGUCCCGCAACGAGCGCAACCCUUAUUAUCAGUUGCCAGCAUUAAGUUGGGCACUCUGGUGAGACUGCCGGUGACAAACCGGAGGAAGGUGGGGAUGACGUCAAAUCAUCAUGCCCCUUAUGACCUGGGCUACACACGUGCUACAAUGGAUGGUACAACGAGUUGCGAACUCGCGAGAGUAAGCUAAUCUCUUAAAGCCAUUCUCAGUUCGGAUUGUAGGCUGCAACUCGCCUACAUGAAGUCGGAAUCGCUAGUAAUCGCGGAUCAGCAUGCCGCGGUGAAUACGUUCCCGGGCCUUGUACACACCGCCCGUCACACCAUGAGAGUUUGUAACACCCAAAGUCGGUGGGGUAACCUUUUAGGAACCAGCCGCCUAAGGUGGGACAGAUGAUUAGGGUGAAGUCAUAACAAGGUAGCCGUAGGAGAACC
RNAcentral lists this ribosomal RNA (1519 nucleotides) under uncultured bacterium. Its description in RNAcentral is "16S ribosomal RNA". It matches the Rfam family "Bacterial small subunit ribosomal RNA". The record is from RNAcentral.